ACGCUCGACACCUACGGGAGCAGCAGUGGGGAAUAUUGCACAAUGGGGGAAACCCUGAUGCAGCGACGCCGCGUGAGCGAAGAAGUAUUUCGGUAUGUAAAGCUCUAUCAGCAGGGAAGAAGAAAGACGGUACCUGACUAAGAAGCCCCGGCUAACUACGUGCCAGCAGCCGCGGUAAUCUGAGGCGGCUGGCAAGGC
RNAcentral lists this ribosomal RNA (198 nucleotides) under uncultured bacterium. RNAcentral describes it as "partial 16S ribosomal RNA". It matches the Rfam family "Bacterial small subunit ribosomal RNA", at positions 328 to 539 of the family's 1533-position model. The record is from RNAcentral.